UACGAAGGGUGCUAGCGUUGUUCGGAAUUACUGGGCGUAAAGCGCGCGUAGGCGGCUUGACAAGUCAGGGGUGAAAUCCCACAGCUCAACUGUGGAAUUGCCUUUGAAACUGUCAGGCUUGAGUGUCGGAGGGGAUAGCGGAAUUGCUAAUGUAGAGGUGAAAUUCGUAGAUAUUAGCAGGAACACCGGUGGCGAAGGCGGGCUAUCUGGACGACAACUGACGCUGAGGCGCGAAAGCGUGGGGAUCAAACAGGG
RNAcentral lists this ribosomal RNA (255 nucleotides) under uncultured bacterium. Its description in RNAcentral is "partial 16S ribosomal RNA". It matches the Rfam family "Bacterial small subunit ribosomal RNA", at positions 524 to 777 of the family's 1533-position model. The record is from RNAcentral.